RNAcentral lists this ribosomal RNA (450 nucleotides) under uncultured bacterium. Its description in RNAcentral is "partial 16S ribosomal RNA". It matches the Rfam family "Bacterial small subunit ribosomal RNA", at positions 354 to 796 of the family's 1533-position model. The record is from RNAcentral.
GUGGGGAAUAUUGGACAAUGGGCGAAAGCCUGAUCCAGCCAUGCCGCGUGUGUGAAGAAGGUCUUCGGAUUGUAAAGCACUUUAAGUUGGGAGGAAGGGUUGUACGUUAAUACCGUGCAAUUUUGACGUUACCGACAGAAUAAGCACCGGCUAACUUCGUGCCAGCAGCAGCGGUAAUAAGAAGGGUGCAAGCGUUAAUCGGAAUUACUGGGCGUAAAGCGCGCGUAGGUGGUUUUGUAAGUUGGAGGUGAAAUCCCCGGGCUCAACCUGGGAACUGCCUCCAAAACUGCAUGACUAGAGUACGGUAGAGGGUAGUGGAAUUUCCUGUGUAGCGGUGAAAUGCGUAGAUAUAGGAAGGAACACCAGUGGCGAAGGCGACUACCUGGACUGAUACUGACACUGAGGUGCGAAAGCGUGGGGAGCAAACAGGAUUAGAUACCCCAGUAGUCC